Molecule: ribosomal RNA, 524 nt
Filed under: uncultured bacterium
Lineage: Bacteria
Description: partial 16S ribosomal RNA
Rfam family: Bacterial small subunit ribosomal RNA
Source: RNAcentral
GACGAACGCUGGCGGCGUGCCUAAUACAUGCAAGUCGAGCGCAGGAAACUGACGGAACUCUUCGGAGGGAAGGCAGUGGAAUGAGCGGCGGACGGGUGAGUAACACGUAAGGAACCUGCCUCAAGGAUUGGGAUAACUCCGAGAAAUCGGAGCUAAUACCGGAUAGUUCAACGGACCGCAUGGUCCGCUGAUGAAAGGCGCUCCGGCGUCACCUUGAGAUGGCCUUGCGGUGCAUUAGCUAGUUGGUGGGGUAACGGCCCACCAAGGCGACGAUGCAUAGCCGACCUGAGAGGGUGAUCGGCCACACUGGGACUGGGACACGGCCCAGACUCCUACGGGAGGCAGCAGUAGGGAAUCUUCCACAAUGGACGAAAGUCUGAUGGAGCAACGCUGCGUGAGUGAUGAAGGUUUUCGGAUCGUAAAACUCUGUUGUAAGGGAAGAACACGUACGAGAGGAAAUGCUCGUACCUUGACGGUACCUUACGAGAAAGCCACGGCUAACUACGUGCCAGCCGCCGCAGUAA